RNAcentral lists this ribosomal RNA (595 nucleotides) under uncultured Bacteroidota bacterium. Its description in RNAcentral is "bacterial SSU rRNA". It matches the Rfam family "Bacterial small subunit ribosomal RNA", at positions 122 to 715 of the family's 1533-position model. The record is from RNAcentral. Lineage: Bacteria; Pseudomonadati; Bacteroidota.
CAACCUGCCCACCACUUGGGGAUAACCUUGCGAAAGUAAGACUAAUACCCAAUGAUAUCUCUNNNANACAUCUGAAAGAGAUUAAAGAUUUAUCGGUGAUGGAUGGGGAUGCGUCCGAUUAGCUUGUUGGCGGGGUAACGGCCCACCAAGGCGACGAUCAGUAGGGGUUCUGAGAGGAAGGUCCCCCACAUUGGAACUGAGACACGGUCCAAACUCCUACGGGAGGCAGCAGUGAGGAAUAUUGGUCAAUGGACGAGAGUCUGAACCAGCCAAGUAGCGUGCAGGAUGACGGCCCUAUGGGUUGUAAACUGCUUUUAUAAGGGAAUAAAGUUAGUCUCGUGAGACUUUUUGCAUGUACCUUAUGAAUAAGGACCGGCUAAUUCCGUGCCAGCAGCCGCGGCAAUACGGAAGGUCCGGGCGUUAUCCGGAUUUAUUGGGUUUAAAGGGAGCGUAGGCCGGAGAUUAAGCGUGUUGUGAAAUGCAGACGCUCAACGUCUGCACUGCAGCGUGAACUGGUUUCCUUGAGUACGCACAAAGUGGGCGGAAUUCGUGGCGUAGCGGUGAAAUGCUUAGAUAUCACGAAGAACUCCGAUUG